This is a non-coding RNA of Poecile atricapillus (Black-capped chickadee), 414 nucleotides long. The record is from the annotation of a RefSeq genome assembly. Lineage: Eukaryota; Metazoa; Chordata; Aves; Passeriformes; Paridae.
GGGCUCCGGGCGGCCGUGACCCUGCUGGAGUCCGGGGGGGACCUCCAGCCCCCCGGGGGGUCCCUGCGCCUCCUCUGCCGAGGACAAGGAUUCCAGUUUGGGGAUUUUGGGAUGUUCUGGAUCCGCCAGAAACCCGGGAAGGCGCUGGAAUGGGUCGCAGGGAUCAGCAGCACUGGUCGUUACAUCGCAUACGCGCCAUCCGUGCGUGGCCGGUUCAGGAUCAGCAGGGACAACGGGCAGAGCUCGGUGACGCUGAGCAUGAACAACCUCCAGGACGAGGAUUCCGGGGUUUAUUUCUGUGCCAAAUGUUACAGUUCUGGUUGUACUUAUGAUAUUUAUGGUGUUGACGAACUUUGCCCUUAUCAUGUCCCAGCGCUGAGCGCUGAGCCCAAAUCCCCGCCCGGGGCCCCCUGA